GGGUCGGGCCCCGGCUCAGUGGUCCCAGGCAGCUCGGGUGUCGGAACCCCCAGACAGUUCACGCGACAAAGAAUCACGCGGGUCAACCUCAGGGACCUCAUAUUUUGUUUAGAAAAUGAACGUGAGACAAGCCAUUCACUGCUGCUCUACAAAGCAUUCCUUAAGUGACACAGGAGGACGCCUGGGGACUUUUUAUAUAUUUGCAGAUUACGCCUUUUUGUAACAAGCAAAUGGGAUAUUGUUUAAAAAACAGCCACCUCUUUACAAUGGAACAGUUUUAUAUUCCUGUUUCUAAAUCAGCUCUUCAGUGUGAAAGAAAACACGUUUCUGUAACAGAGAGAACACAAAGGCCUGUGGAUACUCUUAAAGGACAACUAAAUCUUAACUCAUCUUGAUUGAGUGGCCUUCUUGCCAAACAAGCCAUAUAUAAAGACUGAUGGAAUCGUUAGCAAAUAAUUAGCUGCCCUCUGUCAACUC
RNAcentral lists this small RNA (477 nucleotides) under Pan troglodytes (chimpanzee). RNAcentral describes it as "retained intron". The record is from RNAcentral. Lineage: Eukaryota; Metazoa; Chordata; Mammalia; Primates; Hominidae.